AAAAGAAUUAGUUAAAUUUAUAACAUUAGAAUGUCAAACUAAAAUUAUUAAUAAAUUAAUAUUCUUU
Molecule: transfer RNA, 67 nt
Filed under: Lebiini sp. 2 ACP-2013
Lineage: Eukaryota; Metazoa; Arthropoda; Insecta; Coleoptera; Carabidae
Description: tRNA-Asp
Source: RNAcentral